GAGAGGCUGUGAUGGCGUCAACCCUGAUAACUCUGCUAACCCUCUCGAUCUUGGCAAUCUCCGCCACCGCCAGGCCCUGCAAAACCCUCCUCAUCUCCUCCUACUCCGUCUCCCUCCGCCGCCUCCCCUCCUCCUCUUCCUCCACUGGAUUCGUCACCGUCGUCACCGAGAUCCGACAGCUCCGUCCCAUCCGCUUCUUCUACGACGACGCCGUUUUGGCCCACCCCGAUGAGUCCCGCGCCCAGCCCCAGAGGACCAUGAUGCCUCUCCUCCCUCUCUCCACCGACCUCUCCUCCCUCCGCGAUCGCACCAAGGACAUCCUCAGCGUCGUCGUCGCCCUCCUCUUCGGCGUCGGCUGCGGCGCCCUCACCGCCGCCACCAUGUACUUGGCCUGGUCCCUCUUCUCCAGCCGCCACUCCUUUGAUGACGAGGACGAGGACGUCAGCCCUAAGAAGAUGGGGUACGUGAUGAUUCCGGAGGUCGUUGCAGCAGCACCGGUGAAAGAAGCCGCGGCGGUAUGAACAUGUCACACCUGGUUGAUUCCAUGUCUUGAGUUAUUUUUCUGUAUGAAAAUGUGGCACUUUGUGACUGUGUUUGUGGGAUGAUGAUGAUAAAUAAGCAUAUAUGGUACGCCCUGGUCUGUAUUGGUCGUCGUUUACGGCUCCAAAAUACUCUCUCUCCUU
RNAcentral lists this long non-coding RNA (683 nucleotides) under Fragaria vesca (wild strawberry). RNAcentral describes it as "long non-coding RNA (FVES_LNC000405)". Lineage: Eukaryota; Viridiplantae; Streptophyta; Magnoliopsida; Rosales; Rosaceae. The record is from RNAcentral.